CUGUGAGGUUACAUGGGUUGCAUGGUGAUGGUAUGGAUGAACUGUGAGGUUACAUGGGCUGCAUGGGAGAGCUAUGGGUGAGUCAUGGGUGAUCCGUGGAAGUCAUGAGCUUUAUGGUGGACUGUGGGUGCGUGGGGGCUGCAUGUGGAGAGUGUGUAGUGGCUGUGAGAGCUGUGGUGAGGUGUAGGUGAUCCGUGGAGGUCAUGGGCUACAUGA
This 216-nucleotide long non-coding RNA is filed under the name Vitis vinifera (wine grape). RNAcentral's name for it is "long non-coding RNA (VVIN_LNC001033)". The record is from RNAcentral. Lineage: Eukaryota; Viridiplantae; Streptophyta; Magnoliopsida; Vitales; Vitaceae.